Camelina sativa (false flax) is the source of this 321-nucleotide non-coding RNA. Lineage: Eukaryota; Viridiplantae; Streptophyta; Magnoliopsida; Brassicales; Brassicaceae. The record is from RefSeq and is a predicted model, not a curated record.
GGAAGUCCCUGAGCGGCAAAACUGUUUUGCAUAUGUGAAGGAUGAUGUCAUUCAUAUUCAUAGACACUGGAUUGGAGGACAGAAGACCAAAAUUUUUCCUCUAAAUUUGCAUACACAAUUUCAUGGAAGAGAAUUGCAUUCUGUAUGCUUCAUCUCUGCGGAUACGAAAACCGGGUUUGAUUCCGAAGAACAUAAAAUAUCUGAUCAGUCUAGUUGGAUUGCAACAGGGUGUGAAGGUGGAUCUGUGAGAUUGACUAGGUAUGCAUCUGAGUUAGGAAAUUGGUCAACAUCAGAGCUACUAGGAGAACAUGUUGGAGGCUC